Molecule: ribosomal RNA, 633 nt
Filed under: Propionibacterium acidifaciens
Lineage: Bacteria; Bacillati; Actinomycetota; Actinomycetes; Propionibacteriales; Propionibacteriaceae
Description: bacterial SSU rRNA
Rfam family: Bacterial small subunit ribosomal RNA
Source: RNAcentral
GCAACGCCGCGUGCGGGAUGACGGCCUUCGGGUUGUAAACCGCUUUCACCCAUGACGAAGCGCGAGUGACGGUAGUGGGGGAAGAAGCACCGGCCAACUACGUGCCAGCAGCCGCGGUGAUACGUAGGGUGCGAGCGUUGUCCGGAAUUAUUGGGCGUAAAGAGCUUGUAGGCGGUUGAUCGCGUCGAUAGUGAAAUCCCGGGGCUCAACCUCGGGCUUGCUGUCGAUACGGGUUGACUUGAGGAAGGUAGGGGAGAAUGGAACUCCCGGUGGAGCGGUGGAAUGCGCAGAUAUCGGGAAGAACACCGGUGGCGAAGGCGGUUCUCUGGACCUUUCCUGACGCUGAGAAGCGAAAGCGUGGGGAGCAAACAGGCUUAGAUACCCUGGUAGUCCACGCUGUAAACGGUGGGUACUAGGUGUGGGUCGCAUUCCACGUGAUCCGUGCCGUAGCCAACGCAUUAAGUACCCCGCCUGGGGAGUACGGCCGCAAGGCUAAAACUCAAAGGAAUUGACGGGGCCCCGCACAAGCGGCGGAGCAUGCGGAUUAAUUCGAUGCAACGCGAAGAACCUUACCUGGGUUUGACAUGUACUGGAAGCGCUCAGAGAUGGGCGUGCCUUUUCGGCCGGUUCACA